UAUAUCCAGCUGCAGACCCGCAGCACCACCAGUUUCAGAACCCCAGCGCCAGAACCUGAAGUGAGGGGCGGAGUUAUUGACAAUGAGACAAGCAUGGCGGAGAGCAUGUGCGACUUUCCAAACAUAUGGAGAUGGUGGGCUCUUAUUCUUCUGGAGAACUUUGGGGUUUUCUCUGAAAGGAGCUCCCAAUAAUCCGGCACAUGAAAGAAGCUGUGAAAUGGCUCCAUUCCAACAGCCAUCUGCUCAGAGGUCCAGUGGAAGAGCC
Long non-coding RNA from Xyrauchen texanus (razorback sucker), 265 nucleotides. RefSeq lists it as uncharacterized. The record is from RefSeq and is a predicted model, not a curated record. NCBI's taxonomy places the organism in Eukaryota, Metazoa, Chordata, Actinopteri, Cypriniformes, Catostomidae. The transcript is spliced from 3 exons.